UGGGGAAUAGGCUAAUGGUAAACCAGCGGAUUCUGAUUCCGCCUUUCUUGGUUCGAAUCCAGGUUCCCCAACCA
Molecule: transfer RNA, 74 nt
Filed under: Bacillota bacterium
Lineage: Bacteria; Bacillati; Bacillota
Description: tRNA-Gln
Rfam family: tRNA
About the family: Transfer RNA (tRNA) molecules are approximately 80 nucleotides in length.
Source: RNAcentral